This 448-nucleotide long non-coding RNA is filed under the name Physcomitrium patens. RNAcentral describes it as "long non-coding RNA (PPAT_LNC001373)". The record is from RNAcentral. Lineage: Eukaryota; Viridiplantae; Streptophyta; Bryopsida; Funariales; Funariaceae.
AGGACAAACAAGGAGUAUUAGAUUGAAAGAUGUCUUGUAUAUACGCAAGAUUAAAAAAAACCUCCUUUUGGUGAAUAAAUUAAUUUCACAUAGUUGUAAGGAGUCAUUUAAUAAGAAUGGGUGCUUUAUAAAGAAAUUGGAUGAAGAUGAUGUUGCUAAGGGAUUUAGAAAUGGAAACCUUUAUUUCAUCAAGUGUGAGAUGGUAAAUAGAUUUGAAGUAGCCACAUUUACUAAGUUUUUAUUUAAUCAAGAUAAAUUUGGUAUUUGAUAUGAAUGCCUUUGUCGUUUGAAUGGCAAGAGCAUGAAGGAACUUCAAUCCAUGGUAAGUGGCAUGGAUCUUGGUCAAUUUAGCCACAAUCGUAAUAUACUUGCUUAUGAAGGUUGUGUUCAAGGCAAACAACAAAAGGCUUAAUUUACAUGUGGAGUAGCAACAUGUACUAGCAAGUUG